RNAcentral lists this ribosomal RNA (487 nucleotides) under uncultured bacterium. RNAcentral's name for it is "partial 16S ribosomal RNA". It matches the Rfam family "Bacterial small subunit ribosomal RNA", at positions 29 to 507 of the family's 1533-position model. The record is from RNAcentral.
AUUGAACGCUGGCGGCAUGCCUUACACAUGCAAGUCGAACGGCAGCACGGGUGCUUGCACCUGGUGGCGAGUGGCGAACGGGUGAGUAAUACAUCGGAACAUGUCCUGUAGUGGGGGAUAGCCCGGCGAAAGCCGGAUUAAUACCGCAUACGAUCUACGGAUGAAAGCGGGGGACCUUCGGGCCUCGCGCUAUAGGGUUGGCCGAUGGCUGAUUAGCUAGUUGGUGGGGUAAAGGCCUACCAAGGCGACGAUCAGUAGCUGGUCUGAGAGGACGACCAGCCCACCCGGGGGCGGGACCGCGCCCAGGCCCCCAGGGGGGGGGACAGGGGGGAAUUUUGGGACAUGGGCGAAGAGCGUAACCCACCAGGCCGGGGGGUGAAAAAAGGCCUUCGGGUUUGAAAAGAAUUUUUGCCGGGAAAAAAGCCUUUGCCCAUAAUGCGGGGGGGGAGGGAGGGUACGGAAAAAAAAAGCCCGGGCUAACUAGGUG